GGGGGGGGGGGGGGGGGGGGGGGGGGGGGGGGGGGCGGGGGGGGGGGGGGGGCGGGGGUGGGGUGCUGGGGUGGCGCGCGGGUGGGUCACGCGGGAGUCGCCGGCCGUUGACGUUGGGAGGACUGCAGGGAACUGGGGCGACGACCGGAUAGGAGCUCCUGAUGCAGGGUGGGGGAUGGAAAGUUUCGGCGGUUGGGGAUGUCCGCGCGGCUUAUCAGCUUGUUGGUGGGGUAGGGGCUUACCAGGGGUUUUACGGGUAGGCGGCCUGAGAGGGUGCCCGGCCACAUUGGGACUGAGAUACGGCCCAGACUCCUACGGGAGGCAGCAGUGGGGAAUAUUGCACAAGGGGCGGAAGCCUGAUGCAGCAACGCCGCGUGCGGGAUGACGGCCUUCGGGUUGUAACCCGCUUUCGCCUGUGACGAAGCGUGAGUGACGGUAAUGGGUAAAGAAGCACCGGCUAACUACGUG
RNAcentral lists this ribosomal RNA (468 nucleotides) under uncultured bacterium. RNAcentral describes it as "partial 16S ribosomal RNA". The stretch from base 58 to 468 matches the Rfam family "Bacterial small subunit ribosomal RNA", at positions 39 to 507 of the family's 1533-position model. The record is from RNAcentral.